This 479-nucleotide ribosomal RNA is filed under the name uncultured bacterium. RNAcentral's name for it is "bacterial SSU rRNA". It matches the Rfam family "Bacterial small subunit ribosomal RNA", at positions 330 to 793 of the family's 1533-position model. The record is from RNAcentral.
CUACGCAUCCUACGGGAGGCAGCAUGGGGGAAUAUUUGCACAAUGGGCGCAAGCCUGAUGCAGCCAUGCCGCGUGUAUGAAGAAGGCCUUCGGGUUGUAAAGGUACUUUUCAGCAGUGAGGAAGGUGGGUAUGUUAAUAGCAUAUUCAUUUGACGUUUAGCUGCAGAAGAAGCACCGGCUAACUCCGUGCCAGCAGCCGCGGUAAUACGGAGGGUGCGAGCGUUAAUCGGAAUUACUGGGCGUAAAGCGCAUGCAGGUGGUUUGUUAAGUCAGAUGUGAAAGCCCGGGGCUCAACCUCGGAAUUGCAUUUGAAACUGGCAAACUAGAGUACUGUAGGAGGGGGUAGAAUUUCAGGUGUAGCGGUGAAAUGCGUAGAGAUCUGAAGGAAUACCGGUGGCGAAGGCCGGCCCCCUGGACAGAUACUGACACUCAGAUGACGAAAGCGGUGGGGAGACAAACAGGAUUAGAUACCCUGGUAG